GCCCAUUCUUCCAUCAACGGCCAGCACCCUCGCUCUCCAUUCCGACGCCGGCGAAAUUCCCCAAUUCCGAGCGCCCCAGCCACCGCCGCGGCGGCGGCGCGCCACCCCACGCCGGCGAUGGAGGCCCCGACGGCGGCGAUGGUGUGGUUCCGGAAGGGGCUGCGCGUGCACGACAACCCGGCGCUCGACGCGGCCCGCCGCGGCGCCGGGCGGCUGUACCCGGUGUUCGUGCUCGACCCGCGGUACCUGCGCCCGGACCCCGCCGCCGCGUCCCCGGGCUCCGCGCGCGCCGGGGUCGCCCGCGUCCGCUUCCUCCUCGAGAGCCUCGGCGACCUCGACGCCCGCCUCCACCGCCUAGGGUCCCGCCUCCUCCUACUCCGCGCCCGCGACGACGACGACGCCGCCGGCGCCGUCUGCGCCGCCCUCAAGGACUGGAACAUCGGCAGGCUGUCCUUCGAGUCCGACACGGAGCCGUACGCGCUGGCCCGCGACAAGAAAGUCACGGAUUUUGCGAUGUCUUCGGGGAUCGAGGUGUUCACGCCGGUUAGCCAUACCCUCUUCGACCCGGCAGACAUCAUAAACAAGGUGCUCGUGCUGGACACUCUUAGUAGGCGCUCGGUACCGAACGGUGGUCGGCCGCCUUUGACGUACCAAUCAUUCAUCGCCAUAGCCGUUGAACCGCCUGAGCCUAUUUUGGAGGAAUACUCUGAACUCCCACCGGUUGGAGACACAGGAGAGUACGAGUUGUUGCCCGUGCCUACAGUUGAGGAGCUUGGGUAUGGGGAUAUCAGCCAGGAGGAGAUUUCGCCAUUCCAAGGAGGGGAGACAGAAGCUCUGAGGAGAAUGAAAGAAUCACUUCAAGAUAAGGAAUGGGUUGCCAAAUUUGAGAAACCUAAGGGUGACCCAUCUGCCUUCCUCAAACCUGCAACCACUGUUUUGUCACCAUAUCUGAAGUUUGGCUGCCUGUCCUCCAGAUAUUUUUACCACUGCAUUCAGGAUGUCUACAGGAGUGUCAGAAAUUAUACAAAACCACCUGUUUCAUUGACAGGCCAGUUGCUGUGGCGAGACUUCUUCUACACAGUGUCUUUUGGGACUCCUAAUUUUGAUCAGAUGAAAGGAAACAAAAUAUGCAAGCAGAUCCCAUGGAGUGAGAAUGAGGAGCUAUUUGUUGCAUGGAGAGAUGGGCGGACAGGGUAUCCAUGGAUUGAUGCUAUCAUGAUUCAGCUAAGGAAGUGGGGCUGGAUGCAUCACCUUGCACGCCAUUCAGUUGCUUGUUUUCUUACGCGUGGUGAUCUGCAUGCAGCUAAAGUAAUUUACAAAAGCCUAAUUCCAAUCUACCUGGUGUUGCCCAUAAUGAACUUCUCAAACUUUUUGAAAAGUUUAUCCACUGGGAGAAAGGACGUGAUGUCUUUGAAAGGCUGCUGAUUGAUUCUGAUUGGGCCAUUAACAACGGCAAUUGGCUGUGGCUAUCUUGCUCAUCCUUCUUCUAUCAGUACCACAGAAUUUACUCCCCUAUUACAUUUGGGAAGAAGUAUGAUCCUAAUGGGAACUACAUCAGGCAUUUCAUUCCAGUGCUGAAAGACAUGCCGAGGGAGUACAUUUACGAGCCUUGGACUGCCCCCCUUAGCAUUCAGAAGAAAGCCAAAUGUAUUAUUGGCAAAGACUACCCAAAACCAGUGGUUGAUCAUGAUACUGCAACCAAAGAGUGUAGAAAGAGGAUGGGAGAAGCUUAUGCCUCGAAUCGCCUUGAUUCCUACUCUUCCAAAGGGAAACCUUCAAACUUGUCGCGCAGAAAAUGGUCUCACGGUGACCAAGAUGCCUCUAACUCGUCCAUUGCCAGGCAACUGAAGACUAGUCGAUCUGACUGAUGCGCAGCCCAUUUCCUGCGGCAGCAUUACAAAAUGAAGCUGUGACAACGGCGGCGGCCUGCACCAGCCAUCUGUAGUAUCCUAAUGAAGUAGUUUAACCGAAAAGGAAAUGACUUGCGACCCUUUCUGAAUUGUAGCGUCUGUAUCAACAAUGAACGAACAGAUCUCUAACAUAUUACAUAUGGUCAGGUAACAGGUGUAUCAUGUACUGGUCAUCUUCAUUUUGAUUUUGCGCAAAGCUGUGCGGCCACUGCUGUAAAAUGCUGAGUUUGCGCGGAACCUGUCAACAAUCUUGAUGGUCUGGUUGCAAUGCACAAGA
This is an RNA transcript of Panicum virgatum (switchgrass), 2187 nucleotides long. It is a transcript of the gene named (6-4)DNA photolyase, with no coding region annotated. The transcript is spliced from 14 exons. NCBI's taxonomy places the organism in Eukaryota, Viridiplantae, Streptophyta, Magnoliopsida, Poales, Poaceae. The record is from RefSeq and is a predicted model, not a curated record.